This is a long non-coding RNA of Caretta caretta (loggerhead turtle), 334 nucleotides long. RefSeq lists it as uncharacterized. Lineage: Eukaryota; Metazoa; Chordata; Testudines; Cheloniidae. The record is from RefSeq and is a predicted model, not a curated record.
CUUAAUGGCACUAGCCCGCUCUCCUGGUCAGGCUGGGGAGGAGUUUUUGAGAAACCCUCAGACUCACAGGGGAGAAUUUUUGUUCCAACUGCUAAACCAAAAUACUUUGGUUUAAAGAAGGCUGCUGACCAUUUUAUCACUAGCCACAAGUUGCCGAAGGGAAGAAAUGCAGAUGCAUGAAACCCAGUCAAACCCGCAAGACGAUAAGUAGUUACUGGUCUAAGAGUGAAAGAAUCAUGUGAUUCCACCCCAACACAGGCAUUGUUUCAGGAACCCCUGGAAGUCCUGGUGUGACUUUGCUAUCUGCUCCUGGAUACUGCUCACAACUGGUUUG